Molecule: ribosomal RNA, 460 nt
Filed under: uncultured bacterium
Lineage: Bacteria
Description: partial 16S ribosomal RNA
Rfam family: Bacterial small subunit ribosomal RNA
Source: RNAcentral
CCUACGGGCGGCAGCAGUGAGGAAUAUUGGUCAAUGGACGAGAGUCUGAACCAGCCAAGUAGCGUGAAGGAUGACUGCCCUAUGGGUUGUAAACUUCUUUUAUAUGGGAAUAAAAUGUUCCACGUGUGGGAUUUUGUAUGUACCAUAUGAAUAAGGAUCGGCUAACUCCGUGCCAGCAGCCGUGGUAAUACGGAGGAUCCGAGCGUUAUCCGGAUUUAUUGGGUUUAAAGGGAGCGUAGGUGGAUUGUUAAGUCAGUUGUGAAAGUUUGCGGCGCAACCGUAAAAUUGCAGUUGAAACUGGCAGUCUUGAGUACAGUAGAGGUGGGCGGAAUGCGGGGUGUAGCGGUGAAAUGCUUAGAUAUCACGAAGAACUCCGAUUGCGAAGGCAGUUCACUGGACUGCAACUGACACUGAGGCUCGAAAGUGUGGGUAUCAAACAGGAUUAGAUACCCUAGUAGUC